GUCCACGCCCUAAACGAUGCUUACUCGUUGUAUGGAAUUCGUUUCAUGUGACCAAGCGAAAGCGAUAAGUAAGCCACCUGGGGAGUACGCCGGCAACGGUGAAACUCAAAGGAAUUGACGGGGUCCGCACAAGCGGUGGAGCAUGUGGUUUAAUUCGAUGAUACGCGAGGAACCUUACCUGGACUAGAAUGCGCGUGACGACUGGUGAAAGCCGGUUUCCCCGCAAGGGGCACAAAGCAAGGUGCUGCAUGGCUGUCGU
RNAcentral lists this ribosomal RNA (259 nucleotides) under uncultured bacterium. Its description in RNAcentral is "partial 16S ribosomal RNA". It matches the Rfam family "Bacterial small subunit ribosomal RNA", at positions 793 to 1055 of the family's 1533-position model. The record is from RNAcentral.